This 87-nucleotide transfer RNA is filed under the name Thiotrichales bacterium. Its description in RNAcentral is "tRNA-Leu". It matches the Rfam family "tRNA". From Rfam's summary of the family: Transfer RNA (tRNA) molecules are approximately 80 nucleotides in length. Their secondary structure includes four short double-helical elements and three loops (D, anti-codon, and T loops). Lineage: Bacteria; Pseudomonadati; Pseudomonadota; Gammaproteobacteria; Thiotrichales. The record is from RNAcentral.
GCCUGGGUGGCGGAAUUGGUAGACGCAAGGGACUUAAAAUCCCUCGAGAUCACUCUCGUGCCGGUUCGAGUCCGGCUCUAGGCACCA